GAAGUAAUACAGCACAGGCAGUAACAGUACAAGAUUAUACACUGUGCCCUGCCAAUGUGCCUCAAUCC
RNAcentral lists this small RNA (68 nucleotides) under Chrysemys picta bellii (western painted turtle). Its description in RNAcentral is "TUC338 (ENSCPBG00000024765.1)". The record is from RNAcentral. Lineage: Eukaryota; Metazoa; Chordata; Testudines; Emydidae.